Molecule: ribosomal RNA, 468 nt
Filed under: uncultured bacterium
Lineage: Bacteria
Description: partial 16S ribosomal RNA
Rfam family: Bacterial small subunit ribosomal RNA
Source: RNAcentral
GAUGAACGCUGGCGGCGUGCUUAACACAUGCAAGUCGAACGGUGAAGGCGGAGCUUGCCCUGCUGAAUCAGUGGCGAACGGGUGAGUAACACGUGAGCAAUCUGCCCCUGACUCUGGGAUAAGCGCUGGAAACGGCGUCUAAUACUGGAUACGAGCUGCGAAGGCAUCUUCAGCAGCUGGAAAGAAUUUCGGUCAGGGAUGAGCUCGCGGCCUAUCAGCUUGUUGGUGAGGUAAUGGCUCACCAAGGCGUCGACGGGUAGCCGGCCUGAGAGGGUGACCGGCCACACUGGGACUGAGACACGGCCCAGACUCCUACGGGAGGCAGCAGUGGGGAAUAUUGCACAAUGGGCGAAAGCCUGAUGCAGCAACGCCGCGUGAGGGACGACGGCCUUCGGGUUGUAAACCUCUUUUAGCAGGGAAGAAGCGAAAGUGACGGUACCUGCAGAAAAAGCGCCGGCUAACUACGUG